RNAcentral lists this ribosomal RNA (110 nucleotides) under Salvator merianae (Argentine black and white tegu). Lineage: Eukaryota; Metazoa; Chordata; Lepidosauria; Squamata; Teiidae. The record is from RNAcentral.
AGGUGUGGCAAGACCAAAGUGACCACAGCUGAUCUCAAAAAGCUAAGCAGUCUUGGUUCUGGUUAGUACUUGGAUGGGAGAACCAUCUGAAAACCCUAAGGCUGUAAGUU